AGAACUACACAUCUACACUUGAUAGCAACUGGUUCCUCAAUGAAGAAGUCUUGUGCAUUGGAUUCUUGAGGCGACUUUUGCAGAGAAAGAUAUCAAUUUUAGGAUAUGCAAAAACUAGGUUUUCCUUUUGUCACAUCUUGCUUAUAUAUAGAGAGAAGUAAAAACCAAGGAGCCAUGCUAUUGGACAACAAGGGACAGGACUGCUGCAAAGCCACCAAUCAACUGCAGAAAGUACAGUUUACAGCUGUACAGAGAUG
This 257-nucleotide long non-coding RNA is filed under the name Capsicum annuum. RNAcentral's name for it is "long non-coding RNA (CANN_LNC008551)". Lineage: Eukaryota; Viridiplantae; Streptophyta; Magnoliopsida; Solanales; Solanaceae. The record is from RNAcentral.